This 443-nucleotide ribosomal RNA is filed under the name uncultured bacterium. RNAcentral describes it as "partial 16S ribosomal RNA". It matches the Rfam family "Bacterial small subunit ribosomal RNA", at positions 338 to 795 of the family's 1533-position model. The record is from RNAcentral.
CCUACGGGAGGCAGCAGUGGGGAAUAUUGGGCAAUGGGCGCAACCCUGACCCAGCAACGCCGCGUGAAUGAAGAAGGCUUUCGGGUUGUAAACUUCUUUUCUGAGGGACGAAAAAAGUGACGGUACCUCAGGAAUAAGCCACGGCUAACUACGUGCCAGCAGCCGCGGUAAUACGUAGGUGGCAAGCGUUAUCCGGAUUUAUUGGGUGUAAAGGGCGUGUAGGCGGGAAAGCAAGUCAGAGGUGAAAACCCAGGGCUCAACCCUGGGCCUGCAUUUUAAACUGGUUUUCUUGAGUGCUGGAGAGGCAAUCGGAAUUCCUGGUGUAGCGGUGAAAUGCGUAGAUAUAAGGAGGAACACCAGUGGCGAAGGCGGAUUGCUGGACAGUAACUGACGCUGAGGCGCGAAAGCGUGGGGAGCAAACAGGAUUAGAUACCCCUGUAGUC